GGACAAAUGAAGUGAGGUGCAGGCUUGUCCAAGGUCAUUACCAGUCACUGGCUGACAGAGCACGUGGAACUCCUGACUCCUCUCUCCAGGGUUUCUCCAUCCUGUUGCUUGUUCAGAAACACUUCCGGUGCUUGGGCCUAUUGUACUUCCCACUUCCGGUCACGGACUGUGAGAGCCGAAAGGGGCUUCCGGUGUGGUCGUGUCCCACCCCCCACAAGGAAAAGCAAGAUCUGGGAGGCACCCCACACCGGGGGCAGCGAGCCAGGAGCACCGCUCGGCCGGGACGGCUGGGCUACGGGGCUGAGAGUACCCGGGGCAGAGCGAGCUGCCAGCCGCUGGUCGGCAGAUUGUGGCAGUGUGGGCCUGGCAUUUCCGGAGCCCCUUUGAUGAUGGGAGAACGCAUGUGCAAGGAAUCUCAGGGCCAGCCCUAAAAUAGGAUGUGGAAGGGAGGGCCCUAUUUGGCCAUCUUCAUCCUCUGGGCAGGGACAGAAGAAAAGAUCCUCCUCUCCAAUUCUUUUCCCUGUUGGAUACGGUCUUCCCGAACGUGCCGCAGGAUGUAUAUGACAGAAAUAUCUUCCCAAGAAUGGAAUUCAAGCUCUGACUCCCAUACUCUUAGAGGCUACUGGCUUGGCUGUAAUCCUCCUUGAACAAGGCUUCAGGAGACAGUUAGCAAGGGCCUGGGUCUGUCUGAUUGUGUGAGAGUUGGGGUGCGUGGUUUGCCCUAUAACAAGAUCUCACCAGUACAGUAAGUUUGGAAACAGGAAGGUUAAAGAGAAGGGAAUUCUGGACAAGGACUCCGCUCUCCUCCCUAAGACAAUUCACAGUGAUCUUUCAUUUUGGCCCACUUACACACCAUUCAUGGAUCCCAAUUUAGCUCAAACUUCUUACCCUUCAACCCAGCCUCUAAAAAUAAGAACAUCUGGGAAUACCAAGGCAGGGUGGUAGGGAGAACAAUUUCAUGGGCUCUCUCCCUCUCCCGACCUCGUAACUUUUAUUGCUUUACAGUUCAUUGUCUCACUCUUUCCCCCACCGCCCACCACCAUCCUUUUGUUCACACAGGAACUGUGGGAAACUCCACCGGGGGCGGGGGGGGGGGGUGUGAUUCACGAUCUUUUGGAACGACUGCUGAGCAAUGAGAGUCUCAAUGAAAUACCCGGCUGGGAAUAUCAGCUCCCCCUUUAAUAUUCUCUUCUUCUGGUUCAAUAUGGAGUAAUUUCAAGGCUCACCACAGCUAGGGCUUGAAGUCUUUCUUUGAUUGCUGCUGCCUGUCUAUUGUGCAUUCCCUGGAACAAUCUGGAGAUGAGAGCCAGGUAGCAACAAUGCAGCAUGUCUCUGGGACCAAAUGAUAAUUGGAAAAUCCCAGUAAGUCCAUUCCCUCUGGCCCUUAGUUCACAUAUGGCCAGCACAUUAGAGACCUUGUCCAAAAGACCAGUUUGGGACAUAGAGUGGGGGUGAUUUCUGUCAUUAACUCAGACUAUCUUCCCUCAAAUAAUCGAGCAAUCAGGGCUCGGUGUGCCUUGGCUCCAUUGCAGGUUUGGCCGUGUCACUGGUUUUAACCCAACCUGAUGUCCCUUCUAGAAUGGUCCAUACUCAAGGAGAUAAAGUAGCUGUCUUUAUGAGUGAUUGCUUCCAGACUCAACGAAGAGAAACUCAUGUGUUUGAAAUGCCCGCCAUCCUUCUCCAUUUCACCAUAAAGUAGCCAAUUUAAUUUUGCACAAUACUGUUUGAUAACAACCAUGUGUGUGUCUUCUGUAUUUAUAUGCUCAGGAAAGGACCUACUUGGUCAGUGUGAGAUAAUUUCACAAGAAAAAUGGAACCAGA
Long non-coding RNA from Panthera uncia (snow leopard), 1821 nucleotides. RefSeq lists it as uncharacterized. The record is from RefSeq and is a predicted model, not a curated record. Lineage: Eukaryota; Metazoa; Chordata; Mammalia; Carnivora; Felidae. The transcript is spliced from 4 exons.